CUGUUUCCUUGAGCAGCACAUGUCCUGAAAAUGGAAUGUGACAUAUAAGAAGAGCAUGGAGCUAGCAUAAGGAUGACUUGUAAACUGCUGAAGCAUAUCAUAUUUUU
Molecule: small nuclear RNA, 107 nt
Filed under: Phascolarctos cinereus (koala)
Lineage: Eukaryota; Metazoa; Chordata; Mammalia; Diprotodontia; Phascolarctidae
Source: RNAcentral